GCACUCUCUGAACUUCAAAAACGAGCUAGCCUUUCUCUCCGGUGCACUACCUUUUCUCCGGCGGCUUCCUUUUCUCCGGCGAUUUUCUUCUCUCCAGCGAACUCUUUGUUGGGGAUUUUUUUGGAUCUCGAAUUUUGGCCAUCAAAAUAGGUAAUGAGUAUAAUCCCAUUAGCGUUGCUACAAUUUCUGGACUAUUGGAGGUAAUGAGUCUAAUCCCAUUAGCCUUGCUAUAAUUUCUGGACUAUUGGAUUAACUUUAUUACUACUAAUAUUUUUAUGAGCCUUGAAAGCUAAUUUCUGACUAGAAUGGUCAAGUUUUGAUGGUCCUUUGAUUUGCAAUGAAAAAGUUAGGAUUGUUGAAGAUAAUUUGCAUAGGUUGUUUAAAGAAUACAUGACAAUAUCCGAUGUUGGAAUUGUUAGAAGUAGUAGUCAUGAAUGUUAUGAUGAAACAAUGGACGAAAUGGAUGAAUUUGAUAUGUUUGAAAGUUCAUCUGAGUAUCGUUCAGAAAAGACAGUUGGAUUUAUAUACUUGGAAGAGCCUGUAUUAGUUCGCAAAGAAAAUAAAAAUAUACUUACAUUUUGGAAGGAUAAUAGAAGCAAGUAUCAUGAACUCUCAUUGAUGGAUCGUGACCUGUUAAGUAUACCUAUCAGCGCAGUUGCAUUUGAGUCAGCUUUUAGUAUUGGUGGUCGUCUGGUCGAGUUAUUAGCAACUUCCAGAGUUCUAUUCUACCGGAGAAUAUAGAAGCUAAGUUGUGUUCUAGAGAUUGGAUUUAUGGGCAUCAAGCUUGUGAUGAUUCUGAAGAGGAGGACAUUGCAAUAGAUGUGGAGAAAAUUACCUCUACACUUUUAAAAAGUUUAAAUCUUGGAUAACUUUGAUGCUAGAAAGAGGAAGAUAAAAAGUGUGUGUUGAAGAAGAUGUUGGCUUCAAUCUUUACUUACUAGUUGUCAGCUAUGUAGUAAGAAUGCGUAAUCUUUCUGUUAGUUUCAAAGACAAUCAUAUUAUUGUAGUUUGAUUGCUGUUUUGAUAACAUCUUUCUGUUAAUUUCAAAUAAAGUGGAAUUCUUGUUCA
Molecule: non-coding RNA, 1068 nt
Organism: Nicotiana tabacum (common tobacco)
Lineage: Eukaryota; Viridiplantae; Streptophyta; Magnoliopsida; Solanales; Solanaceae
Source: RefSeq, a predicted model, not a curated record